This 1557-nucleotide long non-coding RNA is filed under the name Mus musculus (house mouse). RNAcentral's name for it is "long non-coding RNA chr1:177459956-177461513". Lineage: Eukaryota; Metazoa; Chordata; Mammalia; Rodentia; Muridae. The record is from RNAcentral.
UUGUGUUUUAUUUGACAGCCUUCCAACUUGAGUCUAGCCCAAAGCCUGCACUCUAAUACAUAUCAUACUUGAUAUUAAAGUGAGAAGGGGGUAAUUUAUAGGAGCUGCCUGAGAACGGCUCUCUUCCGGGGCCAGCCUAUGUGGAAUCGCCACCUCUGGUCAGGUAACAAGGAAUGCGAAAACCAUUCACAGUGAGUUGACAGGGAUAGAGGAAGCUUUUCCAGCAGCAGCGCUGAAAACCACACGUCCUGGGCAUGGCUACCGUUCAAAAGAAGAUGGAGCACAGAGCAGGGUACUAGCCCUUUGUGUGCGUGAAUCUUGGAGGAGUGCGGGUGGGGUGGGAGGAUGGGGCUGUGGAGCCGAAUUUCCAUCCCGACCUCUCACCUGGGAAGCUGACAAUGGUCCCCUUUGCACAUCUAGAGCUGAAAGAAAUUUGUCUUAUCUGUACAGUGUCUUUUCCAAAGAGGAGAAAAUGCCCCUGAAACCCCACUUCUUGACUUUGAGCAGAGGUGCCAUCUCUAAUGAUUAGCAAGACACUCUAGGUUGUUUGUGACGAAGAACUCCACCUGCGCUGUGAAAUCCCCAUGAUUUUUCUCACAUUCCCACUCAAGCUGCCGAGCAACUGGGCCCUUUCUCUUCUACGUGCGGCUGUGUCAGUGUGAUUUCUGUGCGCCAUGCCACUGGGCUGUACCUUCGUGCCCCACCGCAAUUAAUGAUGGGCUGUGGGAGGAGGCUGGCAGGUCACGGGAGGGCAAGGUCCCUGCAUCCGCACCCCCACCCCCAGCGGGCUCCCUUUCUUUCCAGUGGGGGUGACAUCCUCAGCUCUGCUUUUCGAGGUAUCCUUUGAAUGUAUCCCCCAGGGCUUCUGGAAUCCUCCCGCAGUUCUGCAGUCUCGUGGCGGGACUGCGGCAGCAUGAGGCUUGCAUGUGCAAAGGCAACAUGAGGACAUGCGGACUUCAUCCCUGAAAGCAGAGCUCCUGAGGUGUGCCCUUCCACAACCCAGCAACACCAGCCCCCAGUGCCCUGGAACUUUCUCUGGACAGACACAGCUUUGCCUCAGGCAGGACUGACCAGGACCUGAAGAGAGCUGGCUUGGGAGCUCUCUGGAAGGGUCUUGCAUCUAAAAACCGGAAACCAGAAGAAUGGAUGGUGAUCAGAAAUCUGUGCUCUUAUUUCCUGCUGACUAAAUCGGAUUGUCUUGAACAAGAGACUUUAUCGGUUCAUCUAUAAAAUAAACAUUUUGAGCCAGAUGCCUCUGAGAUUCUUUCCAGCUCUCAGUUCUUGGGUAUCUUUUACCUAUUUAGCUGAAACACUGAUUGAACCUGAACAGGAAAAUAUUUUCCAAUUAGUGUAGAAAUGGUGACUAAUAUACCGGUUGGCUUCUGAGGUGCCUCUGAUCAAAGGCAGGCUUGCUCUGAUAAGGCUGGGCAGGGGUAGGGCUCAGGGGAUUUUAAUAUCUAAACGCACUCACAUUUACACGUGUCAGCCAUGUGCUAGGCAUAUGCUUUCAUGUCUGUGGUCAAGUCCAGUGGGUUUUGGGUUAAUUUUUAUUUUUUA